Molecule: ribosomal RNA, 163 nt
Filed under: Nanocnide japonica
Lineage: Eukaryota; Viridiplantae; Streptophyta; Magnoliopsida; Rosales; Urticaceae
Description: 5.8S rRNA
Rfam family: 5.8S ribosomal RNA
About the family: 5.8S ribosomal RNA (5.8S rRNA) is a component of the large subunit of the eukaryotic ribosome. It is transcribed by RNA polymerase I as part of the 45S precursor that also contains 18S and 28S rRNA.
Source: RNAcentral
AUAAGUCAUAACGACUCUCGGCAACGGAUAUCUCGGCUCUCGCAUCGAUGAAGAACGUAGCGAAAUGCGAUACGUGGUGUGAAUUGCAGGAUCCCGUGAACCAUCGAGUUUUUGAACGCAAGUUGCGCCCAAAGCCAUUCGGCCGAGGGCACGUCUGCCUGGG